AAGAGUUUUUACAACUCCCAAACCCCUGUGAACAUACCUUCUGUUGCCUCGGCAGGCCCUGGCCUACCCUGUAGCGCCCCUACACUGUAGGGCUUGCUUUAGGGGGAGCGCUGGGGGCACCUGCCGGCGGCUCGCAAAACUCUGUUUAGCAUUGAAUUCUGAAUAUAUAACUAAAUAAGUUA
Molecule: unclassified non-coding RNA, 182 nt
Filed under: uncultured Xylaria
Lineage: Eukaryota; Fungi; Ascomycota; Sordariomycetes; Xylariales; Xylariaceae
Description: sequence contains ITS1
Source: RNAcentral